GCAACCCUUAUCCUCAGUUGCCAUCAUUAAGUUAGGGCGACUCUGUGGAGGACUGCCGGGUGGUCAAACCGGAGGAAGGUGGGGAUGACGUCAAGUCCUCAUGGCCCUUAUGACCAGGGCUACACACGUGCUACAAUGGCCGGUACAAAGAGUUGCGAUACCGCGAGGUGGAGCUAAUCUCAUAAAGCCGGUCUCAGUUCGGAUUGGAGUCUGCAACUCGACUCCAUGAAGUUGGAAUCGCUAGUAAUCGCGGAUCAGCACGCCGCGGUGAAUACGUUCCCGGGCCUU
This 288-nucleotide ribosomal RNA is filed under the name uncultured Geobacter sp. RNAcentral describes it as "partial 16S ribosomal RNA". It matches the Rfam family "Bacterial small subunit ribosomal RNA", at positions 1098 to 1382 of the family's 1533-position model. Lineage: Bacteria; Pseudomonadati; Thermodesulfobacteriota; Desulfuromonadia; Geobacterales; Geobacteraceae. The record is from RNAcentral.